ACAGGCGUAGUCGAUGGAUAACCGGUUGAUAUUCCGGUACCCGCUGUGAAGCGUCAAACAUCGAAUCAGGCGAUGCUAAGUCCGUGAAGCCGUCCCGAUCUCUUCGGAGUUGAGGGAAGUGGUGGAGCCGACGGACCAGACUUGUAGUAGGUGAGUGAUGGGGUGACGCAGGAAGGUAGUCCAGCCCGGGCGGUGGUUGUCCCGGGG
RNAcentral lists this ribosomal RNA (207 nucleotides) under Streptomyces alfalfae. RNAcentral's name for it is "partial 23S ribosomal RNA". The record is from RNAcentral. Lineage: Bacteria; Bacillati; Actinomycetota; Actinomycetes; Kitasatosporales; Streptomycetaceae.